CAGUGGGAGAGUCUGGUUAACCGCUAUUGCGGUUGACCGGCGCCGAAGGAGCAACCGCCCCGGGAAACUCUCAGGCCUCCGGACCGCAGGGA
RNAcentral lists this non-coding RNA (92 nucleotides) under marine eukaryotic metagenome. RNAcentral describes it as "Glycine riboswitch". It matches the Rfam family "Glycine riboswitch aptamer", at positions 8 to 90 of the family's 94-position model. From Rfam's summary of the family: This family represents the bacterial glycine riboswitch. Glycine riboswitches usually consist of two metabolite-binding aptamers domains with similar structures in tandem. The record is from RNAcentral.